GAGUUUGAUAUGGCUCAGAUUGAACGCUGGCGGCAUGCCUUACACAUGCAAGUCGAACGGCAGCACGGGAGCUUGCUCCUGGUGGCGAGUGGCGAACGGGUGAGUAAUGCAUCGGAACGUAUCCUGGAGUGGGGGAUAACGUAGCGAAAGUUACGCUAAUACCGCAUAUUCUGUGAGCAGGAAAGCGGGGGACCUUCGGGCCUCGCGCUCUUGGAGCGGCCGAUGUCGGAUUAGCUAGUUGGUGAGGUAAAGGCUCACCAAGGCGACGAUCCGUAGCAGGUCUGAGAGGAUGAUCUGCCACACUGGAACUGAGACACGGUCCAGACUCCUACGGGAGGCAGCAGUGGGGAAUUUUGGACAAUGGGGGCAACCCUGAUCCAGCCAUGCCGCGUGAGUGAAGAAGGCC
RNAcentral lists this ribosomal RNA (406 nucleotides) under bacterium enrichment culture clone ALO1_GLFRUDD03GD58Y. RNAcentral's name for it is "bacterial SSU rRNA". It matches the Rfam family "Bacterial small subunit ribosomal RNA", at positions 9 to 416 of the family's 1533-position model. The record is from RNAcentral.